UACAGAGGUCUCAAGCGUUGUUCGGAUUCAUUGGGCGUAAAGGGUGCGUAGGCGGCGCGGUAAGUCGGGUGUGAAAUCUCGGGGCUUAACUCCGAAACUGCAUUCGAUACUACCGUGCUUGAGGACUGGAGAGGAGACUGGAAUUUACGGUGUAGCGGUGAAAUGCGUAGAUAUCGUAAGGAAGACCAGUGGCGAAGGCGAUUCUCUGGGCAGUUCCUGACACUGAGGCACGAAGGCCAGGGGAGCAAACGGG
RNAcentral lists this ribosomal RNA (253 nucleotides) under uncultured bacterium. RNAcentral's name for it is "partial 16S ribosomal RNA". It matches the Rfam family "Bacterial small subunit ribosomal RNA", at positions 524 to 776 of the family's 1533-position model. The record is from RNAcentral.